GGUUAAGCGACUAAGCGUACACGGUGGAUGCCCUGGCAGUCAGAGGCGAUGAAGGACGUGCUAAUCUGCGAUAAGCGUCGGUAAGGUGAUAUGAACCGUUAUAACCGGCGAUUUCCGAAUGGGGAAACCCAGUGUGAUUCGUCACACUAUCAUUACGUGAAUACAUAGCGUAAUGAAGCGAACCGGGGGAACUGAAACAUCUAAGUACCCCGAGGAAAAGAAAUCAACCGAGAUUCCCCCAGUAGCGGCGAGCGAACGGGGAGCAGCCCAGAGUCUGAAUCAGCUUGUGUGUUAGUGGAACGGUCUGGAAAGUCCGACGGUACAGGGUGAUAGUCCCGUACACCAAAAUGCACAGGUUGUGAACUCGAAGAGUAGGGCGGGACACGUGGUAUCCUGUCUGAAUAUGGGGGGACCAUCCUCCAAGGCUAAAUACUCCUGACUGACCGAUAGUGAACCAGUACCGUGAGGGAAAGGCGAAAAGAACCCCGGCGAGGGGAGUGAAAAAGAACCUGAAACCGUGUACGUACAAGCAGUGGGAGCAUCCUUUUGGGUGUGACUGCGUACCUUUUGUAUAAUGGGUCAGCGACUUAUAUUCUGUAGCAAGGUUAACCGUAUAGGGGAGCCGAAGGGAAACCGAGUCUUAACUGGGCGUUAAGUUGCAGGGUAUAGACCCGAAACCCGGUGAUCUAGCCAUGGGCAGGUUGAAGGUUGGGUAACACUAACUGGAGGACCGAACCGACUAAUGUUGAAAAAUUAGCGGAUGACUUGUGGCUGGGGGUGAAAGGCCAAUCAAACCGGGAGAUAGCUGGUUCUCCCCGAAAGCUAUUUAGGUAGCGCCUCGUGAAUUCAUCUUCGGGGGUAGAGCACUGUUUCGGCUAGGGGGUCAUCCCGACUUACCAACCCGAUGCAAACUGCGAAUACCGAAGAAUGUUAUCACGGGAGACACACGGCGGGUGCUAACGUCCGUCGUGAAGAGGGAAACAACCCAGACCGCCAGCUAAGGUCCCAAAGUCAUGGUUAAGUGGGAAACGAUGUGGGAAGGCACAGACAGCCAGGAUGUUGGCUUAGAAGCAGCCAUCAUUUAAAGAAAGCGUAAUAGCUCACUGGUCGAGUCGGCCUGCGCGGAAGAUGUAACGGGGCUAAACCAUGCACCGAAGCUGCGGCAGCGACACUAUGUGUUGUUGGGUAGGGGAGCGUUCUGUAAGCCGUUGAAGGUGUAUCGUGAGGUAUGCUGGAGGUAUCAGAAGUGCGAAUGCUGACAUAAGUAACGAUAAUGCGGGUGAAAAACCCGCACGCCGGAAGACCAAGGGUUCCUGUCCAACGUUAAUCGGGGCAGGGUGAGUCGACCCCUAAGGCGAGGCCGAAAGGCGUAGUCGAUGGGAAACAGGUUAAUAUUCCUGUACUUGGUGUUACUGCGAAGGGGGGACGGAGAAGGCUAUGUUAGCCGGGCGACGGUUGUCCCGGUUUAAGCAUGUAGGCGGAGGUUCCAGGUAAAUCCGGUACCUUUUUAACGCUGAGGUGUGAUGACGAGGCACUACGGUGCUGAAGUAACAAAUGCCCUGCUUCCAGGAAAAGCCUCUAAGCAUCAGGUAACACGAAAUCGUACCCCAAACCGACACAGGUGGUCAGGUAGAGAAUACCAAGGCGCUUGAGAGAACUCGGGUGAAGGAACUAGGCAAAAUGGUGCCGUAACUUCGGGAGAAGGCACGCUGAUAUGUAGGUGAAGUGAUUUACUCAUGGAGCUGAAAUCAGUCGAAGAUACCAGCUGGCUGCAACUGUUUAUUAAAAACACAGCACUGUGCAAACACGAAAGUGGACGUAUACGGUGUGACGCCUGCCCGGUGCCGGAAGGUUAAUUGAUGGGGUUAUCCGUAAGGAGAAGCUCUUGAUCGAAGCCCCGGUAAACGGCGGCCGUAACUAUAACGGUCCUAAGGUAGCGAAAUUCCUUGUCGGGUAAGUUCCGACCUGCACGAAUGGCGUAAUGAUGGCCAGGCUGUCUCCACCCGAGACUCAGUGAAAUUGAACUCGCUGUGAAGAUGCAGUGUACCCGCGGCAAGACGGAAAGACCCCGUGAACCUUUACUAUAGCUUGACACUGAACACUGGUCCUUGAUGUGUAGGAUAGGUGGGAGGCUUUGAAGUGUGGACGCCAGUCUGCAUGGAGCCAUCCUUGAAAUACCACCCUUUAAUGGCUGGUGUUCUAACGUGGACCCGUUACCCGGGUUGCGGACAGUGUCUGGUGGGUAGUUUGACUGGGGCGGUCUCCUCCUAAAGAGUAACGGAGGAGCACGAAGGUUAGCUAAUCCUGGUCGGACAUCAGGAGGUUAGUGCAAAGGCAUAAGCUAGCUUGACUGCGAGAGUGACGGCUCGAGCAGGUGCGAAAGCAGGUCUUAGUGAUCCGGUGGUUCUGAAUGGAAGGGCCAUCGCUCAACGGAUAAAAGGUACUCCGGGGAUAACAGGCUGAUACCGCCCAAGAGUUCAUAUCGACGGCGGUGUUUGGCACCUCGAUGUCGGCUCAUCACAUCCUGGGGCUGAAGUAGGUCCCAAGGGUAUGGCUGUUCGCCAUUUAAAGUGGUACGCGAGCUGGGUUUAGAACGUCGUGAGACAGUUCGGUCCCUAUCUGCCGUGGGCGCUGGAGAAUUGAGGGGGGCUGCUCCUAGUACGAGAGGACCGGAGUGGACGCAUCACUGGUGUUCGGGUUGUCAUGCCAAUGGCAUUGCCCGGUAGCUAAAUGCGGAAGAGAUAAGUGCUGAAAGCAUCUAAGCACGAAACUUGCCCCGAGAUGAGUUCUCCCUGAGACUUUAAGUCUCCUGAAGGAACGUUGAAGACGACGACGUUGAUAGGUCGGGUGUGUAAGCGUAGCGAUACGUUGAGCUAACCGAUACUAAUGAACCGUGAGGCUUAACCUU
Molecule: ribosomal RNA, 2908 nt
Filed under: Citrobacter freundii
Lineage: Bacteria; Pseudomonadati; Pseudomonadota; Gammaproteobacteria; Enterobacterales; Enterobacteriaceae
Description: 23S ribosomal RNA
Rfam family: Bacterial large subunit ribosomal RNA
Source: RNAcentral